ACGAAUUCGCCCUUAGAGUUUGAUCCUGGCUCAGGAUGAACGCUAGCUACAGGCUUAACACAUGCAAGUCGAGGGGAAACGACAUCGAAAGCUUGCUUUUGAUGGGCGUCGACCGGCGCACGGGUGAGUAACGCGUAUCCAACCUGCCCACCACUUGGGGAUAACCUUGCGAAAGUAAGACUAAUACCCAAUGACGUCUCUAGAAGACAUCUGAAGGAGAUUAAAGAUUUAUCGGUGAUGGAUGGGGAUGCGUCUGAUUAGCUUGUUGGCGGGGUAACGGCCCACCAAGGCGACGAUCAAUAGGGGUUCUGAGAGGAAGGUCCCCCACAUUGGAACUGAGACACGGUCCAAACUCCUACGGGAGGCAGCAGUGAGGAAUAUUGGUCAAUGGACGAGAGUCUGAACCAGCCAAGUAGCGUGCAGGAUGACGGCCCUAUGGGUUGUAAACUGCUUUUAUAAAGGAAUAAAGUGAGUCUCGUGAGACUUUUUGCAUGUACCUUAUGAAUAAGGACCGGCUAAUUCCGUGCCAGCAGCCGCGGUAAUACGGAAGGUCCGAGCGUUAUCCGGAUUUAUUGGGUUUAAAGGGAGCGUAGGCCGGAGAUUAAGCGUGUUGUGAAAUGUAGACGCUCAACGUCUGCACUGCAGCGCGAACUGGUUUCCUUGAGUACGCACAAAGUGGGC
Molecule: ribosomal RNA, 681 nt
Filed under: uncultured bacterium
Lineage: Bacteria
Description: bacterial SSU rRNA
Rfam family: Bacterial small subunit ribosomal RNA
Source: RNAcentral